RNAcentral lists this ribosomal RNA (394 nucleotides) under Triticum aestivum (bread wheat). Its description in RNAcentral is "partial small subunit ribosomal RNA". The record is from RNAcentral. Lineage: Eukaryota; Viridiplantae; Streptophyta; Magnoliopsida; Poales; Poaceae.
CCACCUACUCAUCUCUCUUCUCAGCCUGAUCCACUCUCUCGCCGUGCCCACAAGCCACCCGCGGCGGAGUGCCCAACCACAACCCGCCUCCUCUCCUGAGGCCGCCGGACGCCUCCUCCCUCCGCAACGCCGCCCUCCGCCGCCUUCCUUCCCUGCCGGCGCCCAGCAAAGCCACCGCCCGCUCCCAACCUUCUUGCCCCUGGGCGCAUCGCGGCCUGAGCCCAGCCUCCUGACCCUCGACCGCGUCGCCGCCUGCGCCUAGUCUCCUGGCCUCCGGCCGCCGCCUGCGUUCACCCUUCCGGCCACCGGCCGCGGUGCCCGCGCCCAACCUCUUGGAUCUGAGCUGCUGAGGUCGAGGAGUGCUGGCUGCCCAUGUUUGGAUCCCAUCGAUGCG